Non-coding RNA from Cherax quadricarinatus, 1471 nucleotides. Lineage: Eukaryota; Metazoa; Arthropoda; Malacostraca; Decapoda; Parastacidae. The record is from RefSeq and is a predicted model, not a curated record.
CAAGUGCUUUCAUGAUUUCUCACAUUAUAAAGGACCUGUGAUAAUGUGGGAAAUCACGAAAACGCUCGGAAUUUCUCUAUUUUUUUCACACUGGUUAUUUUGCUUAUAUAACCAUAUAUAUCAUAAUAAUACAUGAACUCUCUGGGAGCUCCUUUUUCGUUGCAUAUUCCUGUUUCUUAACGAGUAGGCUGUAGUAUUAUAGUUUUGUGUGUCUGGCAACACUGUUGACCAAUGUUGACGUUCCUCAGGCAAUGUGUGGCUGUUCUGUUCUACACUCGACUAUUGCUUCGUUUUUUCUUCUGUUACGGCGUACGUUGAGUAUUCGUUAUACCCGGGCGUAAGAAGAGGAGCAGACGGAGGAAGUAGCUAUGUUAAAUGAAGAUGGAAGUGAGGAGAACGAUGCUGAACUGGUCAAAUAACACGUGGAUGGUCGGGGCUGAACCACUCCAAGAUACCUCAUGGAAAAAUGCCCAAUACCAUCCAAUGAGCGCUGUCAUCUACGCUGCCCAACUACAUUUACUCUAAACCCCCACUUUUGAUACAGUCUGACUUUUUAACAGAAACUAACUUAUUGCACCAACUUUGAUCUUAGUUUACCUCAAACUCUCCUCUGCCUCUUAUUAUUAUUGUGGGGAGUGCUAAACCAAUAGGGAUUAUACAGUGCCUAUGCAGGGGGGGGGGAGGCAUUCAGGCUUAAUACAGGGAAAUGGAACACAGAUCCAGAGCCCCUCACCAGCAUUAAGGAACCUCCUUUCAUGGGGAUCCUCUUCCCCUUACCCUUUCCACACUUCCCUCCUCUUCCCCAUCCCUUGCUGUAGUGCUUUAUGAUCCUUUUGCCGAAAGGGUCAUAUAGCACUGCAGCUUUCGAGUUUAGUUUUAUUAUUAUUAGGAUUUAAAAAUAGUCCGACCCUUUCAGGGCCACUCAUUACAUUUGAGGCGAGAUAAGAGUCUGGGAGGGUAAGGAAUAUGCUUGCCAUAUCUAAUAACUGACCCAAAGUAGUUAAAAUACAUAUGCCCAAGCCUCUUGUAUAUUCCUGCCCCUCAAGAGAGGUUCCUUGAUGCUGAUGGGCUCUUGAUCUAGGGAAUUGGAUCUGUGCUCCAGUUGCCUGAAUACCCACCCCCCACAAGCACUGUAUAAUACCUACAGAAUUAGUGCUCCCCAUAAUUGUAUAUUCAUGCAUAUUGUUGGUAAACUAGUUUUAUUUUGAACCAAUGCAUGUUCAGGGUGAUUGUCAAGACUUUAUACAGUCAUUGACUCUGAUAAAUUUUGUUAAAGAAUUCUUAUUUACAUUUUAAAUUAGACAUGUGCUAAACCCAGAGGUCAUACAGCUUGUCAAGUGUGAAUUAAUACAUUUAGUAAUGCACAGCACUGUAUGACCCUGCUGGUUUAGAACUUGGUUUUGAUACCAAUAAUUUAGUACUGCAGUAAUACGUUUAGGUAAACUGUUAAAUAAAAUGUAAAAUUUUGUUA